Molecule: ribosomal RNA, 488 nt
Filed under: Mesocrista revelata
Lineage: Eukaryota; Metazoa; Tardigrada; Eutardigrada; Parachela; Hypsibiidae
Description: eukaryotic LSU rRNA
Rfam family: 5.8S ribosomal RNA (bases 1-111)
Source: RNAcentral
AACGCAGCAAAAUGCGAGACGUAACGUGAAUUGCAGGACUUUGCGAACGUUAAUUCUUCGAACGCACAUUGCGGCUUUGGGUUGACUGAAGCCACGCCUGGUUGAGGGUCAGUUGAAUCAACCAUCACGACUGCGUGUAUAGUCGUGGAUUGUCCGAAUAACGCAGCACCUUGGUGUGAGGCGUUAGCGGAUCAAGACGAGUCCGGAUGUGGCUUCGCACACGCCGACUUGACUGCGCGAUCGUGUCGUGCGUCGGUUGGGGCUUGGGCGUCCUGAGCACAUGCACCGCUGUUGCUUGCUUGGGAUUGCUGGCCAACUGAACGCAAUCGCCGCGCGUAGUGUCAGCGAUGUGAGAGGGUGCUCGCACAUUCGUGUAGCGCGAUACACCUCGACACCGAUCCCCGCUGCGGACCGGUGUGUCGAGGAGCAAUAAAUUCAUUCUUUUGACCUCAGCUCAGACGAGAUUACCCGCUGAACUUAAGCAUAUC